This 485-nucleotide ribosomal RNA is filed under the name uncultured bacterium. Its description in RNAcentral is "partial 16S ribosomal RNA". It matches the Rfam family "Bacterial small subunit ribosomal RNA", at positions 29 to 506 of the family's 1533-position model. The record is from RNAcentral.
AUUGAACGCUGGCGGCAUGCUUUACACAUGCAAGUCGAGCGGCAGCGCGGGGGCAACCCUGGCGGCGAGCGGCGAACGGGUGAGUAAUGCAUCGGAACGUAUCCUCGAGUGGGGGAUAACCCAGCGAAAGUUGGGCUAAUACCGCAUGAGCUCUGAGGAGGAAAGCGGGGGACCUGCGAGGGCCUCGCGCUGGAGGAGCGGCCGAUGUCCGAUUAGCUAGUUGGUGGGGUAAAGGCUUACCAAGGCGACGAUCGGUAGCUGGUCUGAGAGGAUGAUCAGCCACACUGGGACUGAGACACGGCCCAGACUCCUACGGGAGGCAGCAGUGGGGAAUUUUGGACAAUGGGGGCAACCCUGAUCCAGCCAUGCCGCGUGAGUGAAGAAGGCCUUCGGGUUGUAAAGCUCUUUCGGACGGAACGAAAUGGGCGGGACUAAUACUCCUGUCUGAUGACGGUACCGUAAGAAGAAGCACCGGCUAACUACGU